GUCAACGUCUGCCACUUUUUAUACUCUAA
This 29-nucleotide non-coding RNA is filed under the name Mus musculus (house mouse). The record is from RNAcentral. Lineage: Eukaryota; Metazoa; Chordata; Mammalia; Rodentia; Muridae.